GUGCUGCCUUUGGCAGCACACAUACCAAAAUUGGAAUGAUACAGAGAAGAUUAGCACAGCCCCUGUGCAAAGAUGACACACAGAUGUAAAUGCCACAUCUCU
Molecule: small nuclear RNA, 102 nt
Organism: Suricata suricatta (meerkat)
Lineage: Eukaryota; Metazoa; Chordata; Mammalia; Carnivora; Herpestidae
Source: Ensembl